UACCAGCCCCCCGAGUGGUCGGGACGAUUAUUGGGCCUAAAGCAUCCGUAGCCGGUCCUACAAGUCUUCCGUUAAAUCCAGCCGCUCAACGGUUGGGCUGCGGAGGAUACUACGUGGCUAGGAGGCGGGAGAGGCAAGCGGUACUCAGUGGGUAGGGGUAAAAUCCUUUGAUCCAUUGAAGACCACCAGUGGCGAAGGCGGCUUGCCAGAACGCGCUCGACGGUGAGGGAUGAAAGCUGGGGGAGCAAACCGG
This 253-nucleotide ribosomal RNA is filed under the name uncultured bacterium. RNAcentral describes it as "partial 16S ribosomal RNA". It matches the Rfam family "Archaeal small subunit ribosomal RNA", at positions 474 to 727 of the family's 1478-position model. The record is from RNAcentral.